This 918-nucleotide ribosomal RNA is filed under the name Microbacterium sp. RNAcentral's name for it is "bacterial SSU rRNA". It matches the Rfam family "Bacterial small subunit ribosomal RNA", at positions 547 to 1464 of the family's 1533-position model. The record is from RNAcentral. Lineage: Bacteria; Bacillati; Actinomycetota; Actinomycetes; Micrococcales; Microbacteriaceae.
CGAUAUUGGGCGUAAGAGCUCGUAGGCGGUUUGUCGCGUCUGCUGUGAAAUCCGGAGGCUCAACCUCCGGCCUGCAGUGGGUACGGGCAGACUAGAGUGCGGUAGGGGAGAUUGGAAUUCCUGGUGUAGCGGUGGAAUGCGCAGAUAUCAGGAGGAACACCGAUGGCGAAGGCAGAUCUCUGGGCCGUAACUGACGCUGAGGAGCGAAAGGGUGGGGAGCAAACAGGCUUAGAUACCCUGGUAGUCCACCCCGUAAACGUUGGGAACUAGUUGUGGGGUCCAUUCCACGGAUUCCGUGACGCAGCUAACGCAUUAAGUUCCCCGCCUGGGGAGUACGGCCGCAAGGCUAAAACUCAAAGGAAUUGACGGGGACCCGCACAAGCGGCGGAGCAUGCGGAUUAAUUCGAUGCAACGCGAAGAACCUUACCAAGGCUUGACAUAUACGAGAACGGGCCAGAAAUGGUCAACUCUUUGGACACUCGUAAACAGGUGGUGCAUGGUUGUCGUCAGCUCGUGUCGUGAGAUGUUGGGUUAAGUCCCGCAACGAGCGCAACCCUCGUUCUAUGUUGCCAGCACGUAAUGGUGGGAACUCAUGGGAUACUGCCGGGGUCAACUCGGAGGAAGGUGGGGAUGACGUCAAAUCAUCAUGCCCCUUAUGUCUUGGGCUUCACGCAUGCUACAAUGGCCGGUACAAAGGGCUGCAAUACCGCGAGGUGGAGCGAAUCCCAAAAAGCCGGUCCCAGUUCGGAUUGAGGUCUGCAACUCGACCUCAUGAAGUCGGAGUCGCUAGUAAUCGCAGAUCAGCAACGCUGCGGUGAAUACGUUCCCGGGUCUUGUACACACCGCCCGUCAAGUCAUGAAAGUCGGUAACACCUGAAGCCGGUGGCCUAACCCUUGUGGAGGGAGCCGUCGAAUGUG